This 64-nucleotide transfer RNA is filed under the name Crepidodera sp. BMNH 846615. RNAcentral describes it as "tRNA-Pro". Lineage: Eukaryota; Metazoa; Arthropoda; Insecta; Coleoptera; Chrysomelidae. The record is from RNAcentral.
CAGAUAUUAGUUUAAAAAAAAUUUUAAUUUUGGAGAUUAAAGAUAAUAAAAUUAUUAUAUCUGA